UUUUCUUGUUUUGCGUGUCGGACACCGUGGGGUGUGCCGAGUGUGUUUGAGAGUUGGUUGGGGUAUUCCAAUGAGUUUAGGACUCUUAAAAAUGCACCGAUUGCCAUUUCGGCGUUUUUCCGUUUUUCGGAUCAGAAAGUCCCAUGUGGGACCCACCACUGGAUUUGUUGUGUGCAGACUUUUUGUUUGGGGCCAUUUGAAUCUCAUUUAUUUUUAUUUAUUGUAUUUUAUGUAGAUGUGAUAUGGUUAGUGUGUGUGUAUAUAUGUGUGUGGUGGAAAUUUAAAAAGAGGAAAAAGAUUUUUCUUAGUGGUGGGACCCACCACCACUAACUUUCCAUUUUAGUGGUCAAGAGGCCAACUUUGGCCUCAUUCUUCCUCUCUCUCUCUCUCUCUCUCUCUCUCGGCUAUAUCUCUCUCUCCCUCAUUUCUUUUCUUUUCUUUUUUUUUUUUUUUCUUAUAAAUUUUAAACCUAGAUUAAUCUCUAACCAUUUGGAGAUUUUUAGUGCCGUUUGCGGCAAAACGGAGAGUUCAACGAGAUCUUCACAUUGAUGUAAGCAAUUUACCAUUUGGCCAACCAUAGGAUUUUCGAGUUUAAGGCUUGGGAAUUGGGACUUUUUGCAUUCUUGAAGGACAUGGAAAAGAAGUGGCGGACUAUGAUCCACCACAGCCUUAGCUUAGAUUAGAAGACUACUUUUGGUUAUCGUUGUAAUUAGAUCUUAUUUUGCAAAGCCUUGUAAAGCAUGUAUAUUUUGUAGCUUAUGGUUUGUAAUUAUAAUUCCAUGGUAGUAUUUGUUACAAAUUUGACACAAUGUUGAUAUAACUUAUGUAGAUCAUUUUCGAAUCAAAUAAUGGAUGUGUAAAACUUGUUUUUCAAUGGAA
This is a long non-coding RNA of Cornus florida, 879 nucleotides long. RefSeq lists it as uncharacterized. The record is from RefSeq and is a predicted model, not a curated record. Lineage: Eukaryota; Viridiplantae; Streptophyta; Magnoliopsida; Cornales; Cornaceae. The transcript has 2 exons.